This is a long non-coding RNA of Neopsephotus bourkii (Bourke's parrot), 1976 nucleotides long. RefSeq lists it as uncharacterized. The transcript is spliced from 3 exons. The record is from RefSeq and is a predicted model, not a curated record. NCBI's taxonomy places the organism in Eukaryota, Metazoa, Chordata, Aves, Psittaciformes, Psittacidae.
GCUUUGAAUUUGCCUUGAGUUAGUUCUGGAUAGGAACAUGAUGGUGAAAAGACUCAUCAAGAGGUCUCAGUUUUUCCAGAGGGAUUUGAUGUCUCGAUGUGGAAGAAGGGAAACAGCCCAAAGAGUUAAUGAAGUUCAGCCCUGGGGCAGAGACAGUGGGAGCAGAUGUGUGAUUAUAGGAGCUGAACUCCCUUAACUGAGAAUUUCACCCAGGCACACGGAGCUUUUCUGUACACAAAGAAACAAUUUCUGUUCCCUAACAGCCAUUUAUAAACCUAUUGCCAUGCAGAUAAUCUUCCAAAGACAAGAGGGUUUGACUAAAGCAUUACUUUCAUCAAUUUUACCAUAGUUUCCUCGUAACACAGAUGUGAAAUGAGCUAGGUAACAGCUAUCUUUAUUCACAAUAACGUGCCAACCUAAACCAUAAUGCAUUCAGUUUUGCUUUCCUUCCCUGCAACAGUUUGGUGUCUUGUUUCCACCCAACUGUUUGUUGGUGGGGUUUUGUUGUUUUAUUUUCCCUUAAGCUGUUUCACCUGGGAGAUGCUCUGGGGAAGUAGCUCUCAACCUGCGUUUCACACCACAGCUGUCUCAUGGGUGUGAAUUUCAUUUUAUUUUAAGCUGGAGUGUUUGCUGUGCUCUUGGUUGAAAAGGAAAUACAACUUUUCCUGUCUUCUGGAAACAGGAUCCUUACCAAGAAGGGAGUAUCUACAGUUCCUUUCCUUUGUUUUUAUUCCCCCAGCUGUGUUGCCUGCUUGAGCAACCCGUGUGAACAGUUUUCCUCACCCGCUCAGAGAUCAUCUGGAUGCUGCUGGAGUGGCAAGAUACAGGGGCUACCAUCCGAGCUUGUCUCACAGCUGGACCAAGAGGCACAUAAACCUGCAGGUGCUUUUGGGAGCCACAGCAGGAGUUUGAUGGGUAAAACAGCUCUGAAGAGGCAGUAGCUUCCUCCCUGCUGCGGGACAUGUGAGGUGUGCUGAAGGAUGUUUUCAGGGUGGGACUGGGGACAUGUGCAGGGCUCCCACCAGGGAAGGGUGUUUCAGCAGCGACAAGACCUGUGCUCUCAGCAUGAUGCUUUCUUCCAAAAAUAUGGACAGGUAGAUGCUGUCAGCUGUUGAAGUGCUGUGUACCUCUCUGUGACUGACAGGGAUGCUUUCUGCCAGCCCACAUCAGCACCCCGGGUCUGGCAGCUGCUGAGGGAUCCUCAUUCCCUCUGGAAGUAACUUGUGUUUUCUGUGGGAAAGGUAGAUGGUGAUGGAAGAUGAUAGUGAUAGUAAUGAUAACGGUGAAGGUGUGCUCACUGACAUGCUUCUUAAGGCCUUUGCUCCAGUAAUUAAAGUUUUCUCUGUUUUUCAGCCUUAAAUGUUGAGCACACCAUUUUAUACGGCUGUAUUCUUGUGACUGCCCUUAAGCUUACAGGCUUUUUAGAAGGGGAGGAUCUUCACAGGAGCUGGCAGCGCUGGCCUCGGGGCAAGCAACUGGACUCCAUGAGGCAGCAGAGAUCCAGUGACUAGCCCAGUCCUUCAGCCCCAUGACUAUGGCUGUGACUGUCCUCAGGGUCCUGCCAACAGGGCUUUGCAAUUCUGCAGACUCUACAUGGGCUUGAAGGCUGAGCAAGAUUUGUAGCUUGCACCAAAUGCGAGACAAUGUCUGCGAGGGCACUUGCAGGUAAAUGUGUGUAUAAGGCUCCUGAGACAGAACCAAAAGGGAGUUAUUUUUCCAUGUAGCCUGCAUUGCUUUUUCAUACCCAAGGCUUAACACUCGGAAAACUCAUUCUGUAAGCUGCUUUCUGUGAAGGCAGGUAUCACGCAGCAUUUUAUACAGAGCUGGGCAAAAUUAUCUUUAAGGAUUGGGUCACUAUGGUAACCACUUUUAUCUCAGAAUUAAAAAGUGUUUAUGAUUGCAAUUAAAAAUGUAUGCUUUCUACCAAGAAUUAUUGUGAAUUAUAAUUCAUUUUCUGUUGCAUACUGGAGUUAUUU